Molecule: long non-coding RNA, 4715 nt
Organism: Nerophis ophidion (straightnose pipefish)
Lineage: Eukaryota; Metazoa; Chordata; Actinopteri; Syngnathiformes; Syngnathidae
Exons: 2
Source: RefSeq, a predicted model, not a curated record
GUUCUUCAUUGCUUUGUGUUUCUUGUGUAAAUAUUAUUUCAAAACUUUCAUAAUACUUUAAAAGUUAUAACAUUAAUGUUGUAGGUAUAAGUGAUGUGUUGUUUUAAGUAUUGUUUUAUGCACAAUUUUGUUAAGUAAGGAUUACAGUGUGACUGUUUGAAAUGUUUGGUCAUAAUUACACAUGGUAUUUACGCAGGUGUCACUCCGCCAGAAAAGUAGAGACCUGUGUAUGUGUUUCAUGUUUCCAACAAAGACUUUUGCUGAUGAGGUAUCACUCCGCCAGAAAAGUAGAGACCUGUGUAUGUGUUUCUUGUUUCCAACAAAGGUGUCCAAUAAAUGAUGAAACGACGGAAUGGUGGAGUGUCUCCUACUUAAAAAAUUACACAACGCAGAAUAAGACUCACUACAUAAGUCUAAGUCUAAGUCUAAUCUGUAAUUCAUAAUGUGAUAGAAAAUAUGUAUGUAUCCUUGGAUCAUGCCAUUACUAACAGCGGUAUUUCUGUAAAAAGCAUAUUCUGACCAGAGAAUUUUCUUGUCCGCAUGACUCACUGUGAAAGUAUCUCUUCUACCUUCUUGUUUUCUCAGUUGAAAGUGUUUGCUUCUUCAUUCCAGUUAACAGCGCCCCAUCGUCUCCACUGAGUUGCGUAAUAUGCUCGCCCCCCCCCCCCCCUAAACUGAGCUUACUCCCUCCUUCCCACCUUAUAUUCAGUGUAUAAAGAAAAACGCAUGUCUCUUCCAUUGCACAUCUAUGAAUGUGACCUGUGCCUUUUGAAAUGCUCAAGUUUUUCAAAUAAAUCCAAGAAAGACAAUUUUGUUUGACAACUUGGUUAGAAAAUGUCCAAUACAAAUUUGAUGUCAGAAGUGGGAUGCCCACUGAACCGGGUCGCGGAUAGUGACUGACUACCCAGACAAAAGAGAGACUUCUGCCUCCAACCCGUUGGUCAGAUAGGAAGACCGGCCGUGACUCGGCAUCCCAGUGUUCGCCGCGACAUCCAAGUCCAGUCCAGACCUACUUGUGAACUCUGUAAUGUGAAAUAAUUUUCAUUUGAAUGAAAUAUCACAAAAAUAAGUGUAUGAUUAUAAAGUUAAGUGACAUCCCUUAAACAAGUCCUCUUAAACUCUUUGUAGAGGUUUUCUCUGGGUUAUACACCCAUUACAGAGGUUUACUCGAGGUUAUACACCCUUUGUAGAGGUUUUGUUGGGGUUAAACAGCCCUUAUACCUUGGUUAUAAAUGAUUUCCAUCACAUUUACUUGACAUCUGCUUUUUUUUGUGAAACCUUAUUCCAAUCCAAUCUAACUUUAUUCAUAGAGCACUUUAAAGCAAUCUCUGUGGCCCAAAGUGCUGUCCAGAAUAACUAGUAAAAUACAUGGUGAAAGCCAAAGAAUGCAACAAAGUUAAGUUAAAGUACCAAUGAUUAUCCUCCGCUCUCUACCAUUUUUCAUAAACUUUUUCAGAGCCCCGCUAUUACUGUUUGUCUCUUCUCAGACAGAUUUAUAAUGAAAAUGUUAUUUUAUUGUACUUUGUACAUAAAAAACACCUUCAAUCAAAUCAAGAUGUGGAUUUUGAGGCCAAUGACACCCAAACUAAUGAAGAGACUCCCUACUUAUUCAUCUUGUUUGAAUUGAACUGGUUCUCAAAGUCACUUUGUGUAAAGGUAAAGGAACUUAGGCUGUUCAGAUAGAAGGUUCCUCCUCAAACGUACUGCAAGAGAAAAAGGGUGUCCCUCAAGGUUCUGUGUUGGGCCCCUUAUUAUUCACUAUUCACAUAAAUAAUUUGGACAGAAUAUUCCGAACUCAACUUUCCAUUUCUAUGCUGAUGAUACUGUCAGAUUCUGCAUGGCACCCACUCCUGCUGAGGCCUUUAAAUAUCUACAAUAUGCAUCUGACAGAGUACAAGAACAACUUUGCUAUCUUCAACUGGUUUUAAAUGCAGAGAAAACAAAGUGUAUGUUCUUUACCACAUCAAAAACUGUAAGAUCAGCACUGUGUGAAAACAUUCUAUCAAGAAAUGGGCAACAAAUUAUGUUAAUAUCUUCUUUUAAAUAUUUUGAAUUUUUGAUUGAUGACCACUUGAGUUUUAAGGAGCACAUUCAGUAUGUUGCAAAAAAAACAUGAUACUUUUACUGGGAUUUUAUUAUAGAAACUAGACUUGCUUUUCUUUUACUGUGAAACAGAAACUGGUGGAAACAACCUUUUUACCUGUUAUUAACUAAGAAGUUAUGUUGUACAAGAAUGCUACUGUUGGUUGUCUCCACAAGCUGGAUAGUGUGUACCACGGGGCACUGAGAUUCAUCACCAACUGCGCUCCCCUUACUCACCAUUGUGUCUUAAACUCAAUGGUUAACUGGACAUUUUUAUGUGCUCGACGCCUCAAUCAUUGCUGUGUUUUCAUCUACAAAACCAUUCUUUGUAUCACUCCAUCUUAUCUAUCUUGUCUUUUAACAAAAAACAAGGAAGUCACAAUCUUCGUUCAAUGAAUGUUCUUCAAUUUGUCAUCCCCAAAGUAAGAACUGAACUGGGCAAGAAAGCAUUUAGGUUUUCUGCACCGAAGGCUUGGAAUAACCUACAAUCGAAUAUUAAACCUCAAACCCUUGUUACAUUAAAUGAGUUUAAAACUUCUGUGAAUGGAUUGCAGUCUACCUUGUCUGUAUGCACAUGUGUCAUAUGAGCAAGUUUUAAUGUUGUAAAUGUGAUGUUUUAUGUGUUGUUUACUGUUUUUAAUGUAACCUUGCUGCUGCCCUCUUGGCCAGGUCUCCCUCUUUGAUCUCAUUGGGAUUUUAACCUGGUUAAAUAAAAGCUAAAUAAAAAUAAAUAAAUAAAAUAAAGUGGAGGGAAUUCUUAGCUUGUUUGCCUUUUUGUUUUUUAAUCUUUCUAAUUAGAACAAAUACAUGUACUUUAGUAAAGACCGGGAAACACCUACUGGUUUAAAUGUAACUUUGAUAUUGGGUGUCACUAUGUAAAGCGCUUUGAGUCACUUGAGAAAAUGCGCUAUAUAAAUAUAAUUCACAAUUUGCGUUGCUUUGGACAUGCCAUACACUAUAUUGCCAAAAGUAUUUGGCCAUGCAUUCCAAAUGAUGAUAAUUAGCUGUCCUAAUCUCUUGGCCAAGCCACAAGUGUAUAAAAUCAAGCACUUAGGCAUGGAGACUGUUUCUACCAAGUGGUAGGCCGCAUAAACUCACAGAGAGGGGUCAACGGAUGCUGAAGCGCAUAGUGCAAAGAGUUCGCCGACUUUCUGCACAAUCAGUUGCUACAGAGCUCCAAACUUCAUGUGACCUUCCAAUUAGCCCACAUACAGUACGCAGAGAGCUUCGUGGAAUGGGUAUCCAUGGCCGAGCAGCUUUAUCUAAACCAUACAUCACCAAGUCCGAAGCAAAGCGUCGGAUGCAAUGGUGUAAAGCACGUCGCCACUGGACUCCAGAGCAGUGGAGACGCGUUCUCUAGAGUGAUGAAUCAUGCUUAUCCAUCUGGAAAUCUGAUAGACAAGUCUGGGUUUGGAGGUUGCCGGGAGAAGGGUACAUUUCGGACUGCAUUGUGUCGAGUGUGAAAUUUGGUGGGGAGGAAUUAUGGUGUGGAGUUGUUUUUUCAGGAGUUGGGCUUGGCCUUUUAGUUAUAGUGAAAGUAACUUUGAAUGAUCCAGGACACCGAAACAUUUUGGACAAAUCGAUGCUCCCAACCUUGUGGGAACAAUUUGGAGUGGGCCCCUUCCUCUUCCAUCAUGACUGUGCACCAGUGCACAAAGCAAGGUCUAUAAAGACACGGACGACAGAGUCUGGUGUGGAUGAACUUGACUGGCCUGCACAGACUCGGGACCUGAACCAGAUAGAACACCUUUGGGAUGAAUUAGAACAGAGACCGAGAGCCAGGCCUUCUCGACCAACAUCAGUGUGUGACCUCACCAAUGCACUUUUGGAAGAAUGGUGGAAAAUUCUUACAAACACACUCUGCAAGCUUGUGGACAGUCUUUCCCAAAGAGUUGAAGCUAUAAUAGCUGCAAAAGAUGCACUGACAUCAUAUUGAACCCAGUGGGUUAGGAAUGGGAUGGCACUUCAAGUUCAUGUGUGAGUCAAGGCAGAUGGGCAAAUAGUUUUGGCAAUAUAGUUUACAAUGUCAUUGUUUAUUAGUGUAACAAAUUACAUUGAAAGAACUUUGGAAAGCUACUCUCAGAAUGAAAACAGACUUAAUAUAUAGUUAUCACUGUUAAAACAAAUUUCCUCCGUACUUUACUAAACAGCUCUGGCACGUAUUUGUUGAUUGGAUGCUAUUAACUGUGUACUGAUGCUUUGAUGUAUUUAUCAUUGUGGAGAGACGCAGCCGACGGGCCGACAGCGGGCUUAGAGAAACGGUCCUGACCAAGAUGGAGGCCAGGAGGCGGGGCAUGCGGCGGAGAGGAGAGGCUUGACGCACGCAGAGCCGCACGACAGCAGUAAUCUGAGUCAGGUGCGUACAACACACACCUGCUCACUAUCUCUCCAUCUGCUGCUGCAGCAUAAGAAAGGCGAGGGAGGAACGAUCGUGGCAGAGUUAGGAGAGGAACAACCCGGCACGAAAGACCACGAGAGCGACAACAGAGACCAGUCCAAAGAUGCCACCCCACGGCAGACGCAGCAACCGGCAACCAAAAGGCGGGCGGAGACGACUAGGAAUUGUUAGAAAUUGGCGCGAUCGGCGGGAACGAAGGCACAUUUAUUAAAAUAAUAAACGAGUGUCAACCCUG